CCCUUAGACGUUCUGGGCCGCACGCGCGCUACACUGACCAGUGCAACAAGCAUCCGUCCUUGGCCGACAGGCUCGGGCAAUCUUUGAACUCUGGUCGUGAUGGGGAUAGACUUUUGCAAUUUUUGGUCUUCAACGAGGAAUUCCUAGUAAACGCAAGUCAUCAACUUGCAUUGAUUACGUCCCUGCCCUUUGUACACACCGCCCGUCGCACCUACCGAUUGAAUGGUCCGGUGAAGCCUCCGGAUUGGCGCGCACCUCGGUGCCGCCGAGAAGUUGGCUAAACCUUACCAUUUAGAGGAAGGUGAANUCGUAACA
Molecule: ribosomal RNA, 315 nt
Filed under: uncultured eukaryote
Lineage: Eukaryota
Description: partial 18S ribosomal RNA
Rfam family: Eukaryotic small subunit ribosomal RNA
Source: RNAcentral